AUAUCAAUAAGCGGAGGAAAAGAAACCAACAGGGAUUGCCUCAGUAACGGCGAGUGAAGCGGCAACAGCUCAAAUUUGAAAUCUGGCUUCUUUGGAGCCCGAGUUGUAAUUUGUAGAGGAUGUUUCGGGUACCGCAACGGCUUAAAUUUCUUGGAACAGAAUGUCAAGGAGGGUGAGAAUCCCGUCUGGAGUCGCGGUAGGGCCCAUGUGAAACUCCUUCGACGAGUCGAGUUGUUUGGGAAUGCAGCUCAAAAUGGGUGGUAAAUUUCAUCUAAAGCUAAAUAUUGGCCAGAGACCGAUAGCGCACAAGUA
This 312-nucleotide ribosomal RNA is filed under the name uncultured Phialophora. RNAcentral's name for it is "partial large subunit ribosomal RNA". It matches the Rfam family "Eukaryotic large subunit ribosomal RNA", at positions 40 to 350 of the family's 3401-position model. Lineage: Eukaryota; Fungi; Ascomycota; Leotiomycetes. The record is from RNAcentral.